GAUGAACGCUGGCGGCGUGCCUAAUACAUGCAAGUCGAGCGAACAGACGAGGAGCUUGCUCCUCUGACGUUAGCGGCGGACGGGUGAGUAACACGUGGAUAACCUACCUAUAAGACUGGGAUAACUUCGGGAAACCGGAGCUAAUACCGGAUAAUAUAUUGAACCGCAUGGUUCAAUAGUGAAAGACGGUUUUGCUGUCACUUAUAGAUGGAUCCGCGCCGCAUUAGCUAGUUGGUAAGGUAACGGCUUACCAAGGCAACGAUGCGUAGCCGACCUGAAAGGGUGAACCGCCACCCUGGAACUGAGACACGGUCCAGACUCCUACGGGAGGCAGCAGUAGGGAAUCUUCCGCAAUGGGGGAAAGCCGGACGGAGCAAAGCCGCGUGAGUGAUGAAGGUCUUAGGAUCGUAAAACUCUGUUAUUCGGGAAGAACAAAUGUGUAAGUAACUAUGAACGUCUUGACGGUACCUAAUCAGAAAGCCACGGCUAACUACGUG
This 497-nucleotide ribosomal RNA is filed under the name uncultured bacterium. Its description in RNAcentral is "partial 16S ribosomal RNA". It matches the Rfam family "Bacterial small subunit ribosomal RNA", at positions 28 to 507 of the family's 1533-position model. The record is from RNAcentral.